RNAcentral lists this long non-coding RNA (433 nucleotides) under Phoenix dactylifera (date palm). RNAcentral describes it as "long non-coding RNA (PDAC_LNC010596)". The record is from RNAcentral. Lineage: Eukaryota; Viridiplantae; Streptophyta; Magnoliopsida; Arecales; Arecaceae.
UGAGCACUCAAGUAUAAAUAAGUCUUACAACUUCUUAACGGAAAACUUAAUAACUUCAACUUAAAUUGCAUACUAACCUAGAAAUUGGGCUACUUAGUAAUUAAAACCUUGUGUGCUUUUGAAAUUCUUAUCAGUUAUGUACUUGAAAUAAGACUUUCAUUUCACAAACCAAAUUUUAUUUUGGGAUUGAAGUUUGUGGGUAACUUAACUGCAAACCCUCACGAGACAACACUCGUCCACUAGGGUAACCUAGGGGUUUAAAGGCUUGUUGCACGUGCUAAGUGCAAUCGUAAUGCUCUACGAAAGUGAAUAUUUAUCUUAGUAUAUUUAUAUAAUAAAUAACACUUUUAUACUCUCAUUUUAUCAUUGUCGCACUGAAUUGCUAGAGACUAGCAAUAAGCUAGUUGGGGGGUGUGAUGAGAGCACAAAAGUG